AUGAGCGGCUGCCUCCUCCUCUCUUCAUCUCCAGUAGCGUUUCUCAGGGAGGUGGGAUGCAGUCACGCUCCGCUGGAUUCUGUGGAUGAAAUCCAAAGGAAAUCUUUGUACUGUGAUGAGCAAACCGCGCGCGCUAUCUUGCAAACGAUGUCAGACUCUUCUUUGCCAGCCUUCCCUUCCGUCUUCCCUUUCCUGUUUCUGAGAAAGGAGAGCGGUGCCUUGGGUGCAGCAGGGCAGGAGUCAGUGCAACACAAAGGUGCUGUGUCUGUCGCAGCGUUUGUCCAGGGGCCGCCAAAGGCAGGAGCACAGCACAGCACCAUUCAUUCCUGUGAGAGGACAGUGGCUGCGGUGAGUUUCAACCAUGUCUGCGCCGCAUCAUUCCCAGCAGGUGUUUCUGGACAGUGCAUAGAAGCUGUGAAAAACUAUUUAAGAAAUCUUCAUUACAAACUGAAGAAAUAUGGAAAAGGUCCAUGUCAUGGGCAGAUCAGAGACUAUGAGUGUCAUUUGGCCUAAAUCUAACCACUGGGAUUUAUGAACCUGGUCACACCUCCCUCCCUUCACAGACAGGAUGGGACAGACAUGGUGAAGAGAUCUACUGAAUAGUAUUUGAACCUGGUCAAUGCUGCUGCAUCUCAUUCAAAGUUUAAAUUACUUUGGUUUCUUUUAAAGGCUAUGUUGUAUCUCUUACAUGAGAUGUGUUUACUGGCUGUAUAUGUGAUCUUUUUGAAUACAAAGUCAAAUAAAACUUAUAUCAAUGGUGAAGUUAGUCUAACC
This 774-nucleotide long non-coding RNA is filed under the name Numida meleagris (helmeted guineafowl). RNAcentral's name for it is "lncRNA (ENSNMEG00000000279.1)". The record is from RNAcentral. Lineage: Eukaryota; Metazoa; Chordata; Aves; Galliformes; Numididae.